GGGGAUGGACUCGCGGCUUAUCAGCUUGUUGGUGGGGUAGUGGCUUACCAAGGCUUUGACGGGUAGCCGGCCUGAGAGGGUGACCGGCCACAUUGGGACUGAGAUACGGCCCAGACUCCUACGGGAGGCAGCAGUGGGGAAUAUUGCACAAUGGGCGGAAGCCUGAUGCAGCAACGCCGCGUGCGGGAUGACGGCCUUCGGGUUGUAAACCGCUUUCGCCUGUGACGAAGCGUGAGUGACGGUAAUGGGUAAAGAAGCACCGGCUAACUACGUGCCAGCAGCCGCGGUGAUACGUAGGGUGCGAGCGUUGUCCGGAUUUAUUGGGCGUAAAGGGCUCGUAGGUGGUUGAUCGCGUCGGAAGUGUAAUCUUGGGGCUUAACCCUGAGCGUGCUUUCGAUACGGGUUGACUUGAGGAAGGUAGGGGAGAAUGGAAUUCCUGGUGGAGCGGUGGAAUGCGCAGAUAUCAGGAGGAACACCAGUGGCGAAGGCGGUUCUCUGGGCCUUUCCUGACGCUGAGGAGCGAAAGCGUGGGGAGCGAACAGGCUUAGAUACCCUGGUAGUCCACGCUGUAAACGGUGGGUACUAGGUGUGGGGUCCAUUCCACGGGUUCCGUGCCGUAGCUAACGCUUUAAGUACCCCGCCUGGGGAGUACGGCCGCAAGGCUAAAACUCAAAGGAAUUGACGG
This 685-nucleotide ribosomal RNA is filed under the name uncultured bacterium. RNAcentral's name for it is "bacterial SSU rRNA". It matches the Rfam family "Bacterial small subunit ribosomal RNA", at positions 221 to 916 of the family's 1533-position model. The record is from RNAcentral.